AUGCUUGCUGAGAGCAAGGUGAGUCCCGUUGGCUUUGAAUGCCAGCUCAACUCGCUUCUUCUGAAACACGUCUCCCAGUAUUUCUCGGCAUCUCGCAGGACUGUCACGGAAUCUCAAAGACGAGCCAUGCAGGUGGCCACCCUGUGUUCUCUGCCUCUGCUCCACCGCCGUCUGCAGCCACUCAAGCUUCAGGAAGGCACCUCUGCUGCGGGUGUCCCUGGAGGCAUGAGGGGACCCUGCCCGGCGCUCCCCCAGCAGCCAGGGGCCGGGGUUCGGGUCCUGCCUGCCAGCCUCGCCCAUGUCCACCUGACGGUAUUCACCCCAUCACUGUGCCCUCAGCUCUGGCUUUCCACAUCCUGGCUGCCACUGAUGAUUCCAAAAAGGACUCAAGUCAGUGUAGAGUGCUGUGAAAAUAGAGCCAAGUGAAAUAAAUAUGACCGUAAGUGAGAAAAAGAAGAGGGAAAGAAAAGGUCAACUGUGUUUCCCGCCUGGUUCCUGCAAGGUGGGCUAGAAUCCUUCUGUUGUGCAUUCGAGCCAUUUACCUGUUUUAGGAUCAGAUCUGGAAACAUGUCUGAGAUGUUGGAGAUGGCUCUCCAGAUGGCCUGACUACUGAGGGGCUGGACGUGGGGUUCUCCAAACCCAGCUGAGGGGCCAGCGCGUGGGGCGCAGCCUCCCUGUGUGGCAUUGGUUAUCUCCUCACGGUCACACACCCGAGCCCUGACUUCUGUUGCCACCACUGCUGGCCUCGAAAGUGAAGCAAUAAGAACUUGGACACCUGAGAACCGGGCGUCUGACAAAUUAAAGGUGUUUUGGCAGGAAGCCAUCUCCUGAGUGCCCUGCUUUUAACAGAAGGUUCCUUGUCACAGACACAGAAUGCAGGUAAAGCCAGGGCCUGAGGCAGUGCUGAUUCCAAAGGAAAGAAAAGAAAGCUGCUUUGGGUUUCUUUCUUUUUUUUUUGUUAUCCUACCUCACAGGGUUAUUGAAAGGAUUAAAUGAAUACAGAAAGACCUACUGUAAUUUGUGCCUGGAUGCAGAUCAGGGAGAAAUAUUUUCUCCUAAACAGUGAUAACAGCUAACCCUGCAUAAAACCUGCUCUGUGUUUUGUGACGUCUGCCUCUUAAUCUCUUGCAUUUUGUAAUAAGCUGAUGAGGUGGCUAUGGCUGUGCUCCAUUUCACAGACGCACAGAGAGAUGAGCAGCUCCUGGCUGGCCAGAAAGUAGCCGAGCUGGCCUUAAUGCACCAAGCUUCUCCUCUCUCGUGGGUGAGCACAGGAGGUAGCGAUGGCUAUUUUGUUAACAUCAAUUUAGAUCAGUCAAGUUGGAGAAGGAAAUGGCAACCCACUCCAGUGUUCUUGCCUGGAGANNNNNNNNNNNNNNNGAGCCUGGUGGGCUGCCGUCUAUGGGGUCACACAGAGUCGGACGCGACUGCAGCGACUCAGCAGCAGCAGAGUUAGCCAGGAGCAAGCUAGCAAACUCCCACCCA
This 1482-nucleotide long non-coding RNA is filed under the name Capra hircus (goat). Its description in RNAcentral is "lncRNA (ENSCHIG00010010499.1)". The record is from RNAcentral. Lineage: Eukaryota; Metazoa; Chordata; Mammalia; Artiodactyla; Bovidae.